GACGAACGCUGGCGGCGUGCCUAAUACAUGCAAGUAGAACGCUGAAGAGAGGAGCUUGCUCUUCUUGGAUGAGUUGCGAACGGGUGAGUAACGCGUAGGUAACCUGCCUGGUAGCGGGGGAUAACUAUUGGAAACGAUAGCUAAUACCGCAUAAAAUGGAUUAUCGCAUGAUAAUCCAUUGAAAGGUGCAAAUGCAUCACUACCAGAUGGACCUGCGUUGUAUUAGCUAGUUGGUGGGGUAACGGCUCACCAAGGCGACGAUACAUAGCCGACCUGAGAGGGUGAUCGGCCCCACUGGGACUGAGACACGGCCCAGACUCCUACGGGAGGCAGCAGUAGGGAAUCUUCGGCGAUGGACGGAAGUCUGACCGAGCAACGCCGCGUGAGUGAAGAAGGUUUUCGGAUCGUAAAGCUCUGUUGUAAGAGAAGAACGAGUGUGAGAGUGGAAAGUUCACACUGUGACGGUAUCUUACCAGAAAGGGACGGCUAACUACGUG
RNAcentral lists this ribosomal RNA (497 nucleotides) under uncultured bacterium. RNAcentral's name for it is "partial 16S ribosomal RNA". It matches the Rfam family "Bacterial small subunit ribosomal RNA", at positions 28 to 507 of the family's 1533-position model. The record is from RNAcentral.